UUCUCCCCUCACAAGUGGUUCAGGGUCAGGAACCAAAUAAUUUCAUCUUAAUUAUUAAGGUGAUGUGUAUAUUGACAUAAUGCGCAAAGAUGAUUUUCCAAAGUUGAGGAAACAUGUUAAUUUUACUAACAUGAGGGGGAGACAUGAUAAACACUUAUGAAAGUGUUACAUGGGAUGAAUUUUCAUUUGUAUAUGUAUAUCCCCGAAUAUCAUGAUAUGAA
RNAcentral lists this long non-coding RNA (221 nucleotides) under Nicotiana benthamiana. Its description in RNAcentral is "long non-coding RNA (NBEN_LNC000652)". Lineage: Eukaryota; Viridiplantae; Streptophyta; Magnoliopsida; Solanales; Solanaceae. The record is from RNAcentral.